This 480-nucleotide ribosomal RNA is filed under the name uncultured Acidovorax sp. RNAcentral describes it as "bacterial SSU rRNA". It matches the Rfam family "Bacterial small subunit ribosomal RNA", at positions 37 to 514 of the family's 1533-position model. The record is from RNAcentral. Lineage: Bacteria; Pseudomonadati; Pseudomonadota; Betaproteobacteria; Burkholderiales; Comamonadaceae.
UGGCGGCAUGCCUUACACAUGCAAGUCGAACGGUAACAGGUCUUCGGAUGCUGACGAGUGGCGAACGGGUGAGUAAUACAUCGGAACGUGCCCGAUCGUGGGGGAUAACGAAGCGAAAGCUUUGCUAAUACCGCAUACGAUCUACGGAUGAAAGCAGGGGACCGCAAGGCCUUGCGCGAACGGAGCGGCCGAUGGCAGAUUAGGUAGUUGGUGGGAUAAAAGCUUACCAAGCCGACGAUCUGUAGCUGGUCUGAGAGGACGACCAGCCACACUGGGACUGAGACACGGCCCAGACUCCUACGGGAGGCAGCAGUGGGGAAUUUUGGACAAUGGGCGAAAGCCUGAUCCAGCCAUGCCGCGUGCAGGAUGAAGGCCCUCGGGUUGUAAACUGCUUUUGUACGGAACGAAAAGACUCUGGUUAAUACCUGGGGUCCAUGACGGUACCGUAAGAAUAAGCACCGGCUAACUACGUGCCAGCAG